UACAAAACGAACUGGGAAAGAGAGACAGGAAACACAGGGAUGAAUACACUGGGGAAAUCAAGCGACACCUGAAGGGAGUGGAGACAAUAACAGGUGAAACAGAUCAGGAUGUGACAGAGGAAAAAAAUGCAUUUGCAAUUUGGCCCCAGAGUCAGUGAAACGAUUGCUUCAUACCCAUGUAAAUAGAGAUACAGGAUUACAUAAUUGGGAGAAAGAAAUCCAACAUAGGUUUUCUCUUGAUUAAUGCUAUGUUUACUUGCUUUGGGAGUUAGGAGGUGAAAUCACAUUUUUUUGGCAGAAGGAAGUCGUGCAUGAUUGUGGUGAUUGUUCGAUGUGUUUUCUCAAAAAGCCACGGGAUGGAACUGCCUUUUGAACAAUGAAAACAGUUAAGCUGUUUCCAAAACAAAAACUCAGAGAGAGGUAGAGAGAGAGAGAUGGAGAGGUAGAGAGAGAGAGAUGGAGAGGUAGAGAGAGAGAGAUGGAGAGGUAGAGAGAGAGAGAUGGAGAGGUAGAGAGCGAGAGAUGGAGAGGUAGAGAGCGAGAGAUGGAGAGGGAGAGAGAGAGAUAGAGGUAGAGAGAGAGAGAGGGAGAGGUAGAGAGAGAGAUGGAGAGGUAGAGAGAGAGAGAUGGAGAGGUAGAGAGAGAGAGAGAUGGAGAGGUAGAGAGAGAGAGAUGGAGAGGUAGAGAGAGAGAUGGAGAGGUAGAGAGAGAUGGAGAGGUAGAGAGAGAGAGAUGGAGAGGUAGAGAGAGAGAUGGAGAGGUAGAGAGAGAGAGAUGGAGAGGUAGAGAGAGAGAGAUGGAGAGGUAGAGAGAUGGAGAGGUAGAGAGGUAGAGAGAUGGAGAGGUAGAGAGAGAGAGAUGGAGAGGUAGAGAUGGAGAGAUGGAGAGGUAGAGAGAGAGAGAUGGAGAGGUAGAGAGAGAGAGAUGGAGAGGUAGAGAGAGAUGGAGAGGUAGAGAGAGGUAGAGAGAGAGAGAUGGAGAGGUAGAGAGAGAGAGAUGGAGAGGUAGAGAGAGAGAGAUGGAGAGGUAGAGAGAGAGAGAUGGAGAGGUAGAGAGAGGUAGAGAGAUGGAGAGGUAGAGAGGUAGAGAGAUGGAGAGGUAGAGAGAGAGAGAUGGAGAGGUAGAGAUGGAGAGAUGGAGAGGUAGAGAGAGAGAUGGAGAGGUAGAGAGAGAGAGAUGGAGAGGUAGAGAGAGAGAGAUGGAGAGGUAGAGAGAGAGAGAUGGAGAGGUAGAGAGAGGUAGAGAGAUGGAGAGGUAGAGAGAUGGAGAGAUGGAGAGGUAGAGAGAGGUAGAGAGAUGGAGAGGUAGAGAGAGGUAGAGAGAUGGAGAGGUAGAGAGAGAGAGAUGGAGAGGUAGAGAGAGAGACAUGGAGAGGUAGAGAGAGAGAUGGAGAGGUAGAGAGAGAGAGAUGGAGAGGUAGAGAGAGAGAGAUGGAGAGGUAGAGAGAGAGAGAUGGAGAGGUAGAGAGAGAGAUGGAGAGGUAGAGAGAGAGAGACGGAGAGGUAGAGAGGUAGAGAGUUUCCAGCUUGUUCAUAUAUACAAUGUGUAGCCAAACUGCAAGUCACUUGUCUGAACCCCCUUACUACAAGUGCUUGCAGAAUUUAGCUUGAAGGAAAGCCAUAAACC
Molecule: long non-coding RNA, 1626 nt
Organism: Oncorhynchus tshawytscha (Chinook salmon)
Lineage: Eukaryota; Metazoa; Chordata; Actinopteri; Salmoniformes; Salmonidae
Source: Ensembl